RNAcentral lists this ribosomal RNA (460 nucleotides) under uncultured bacterium. Its description in RNAcentral is "partial 16S ribosomal RNA". It matches the Rfam family "Bacterial small subunit ribosomal RNA", at positions 338 to 795 of the family's 1533-position model. The record is from RNAcentral.
CCUACGGGUGGCAGCAGUGAGGAAUAUUGGUCAAUGGCCGGAAGGCUGAACCAGCCAUGCCGCGUGAAGGUCAGUGCCCUAUGGGCGUUAAACUUCUUUUGUGCGGGAGCAAUAAUGGUCACGUGUGGCCAGACGAGAGUACCGUACGAAUAAGCAUCGGCUAACUCCGUGCCAGCAGCCGCGGUAAUACGGGGGAUGCAAGCGUUAUCCGGAUUUAUUGGGUUUAAAGGGUGCGUAGGCUGUGAGGUAAGUCAGCGGUGAAAUGCCCCCGCUCAACGGGGUGAAGUGCCAUUGAUACUGCGAUACUAGAGUAAUGGAGGGGGAACCGGAAUUCUCGGUGUAGCAGUGAAAUGCGUAGAUAUCGAGAGGAACACUCGUGGCGAAGGCGGGUUCCUGGACAUUAACUGACGCUGAGGCACGAAGGCCAGGGGAGCGAAAGGGAUUAGAUACCCGAGUAGUC